RNAcentral lists this long non-coding RNA (907 nucleotides) under Gadus morhua (Atlantic cod). Its description in RNAcentral is "lncRNA (ENSGMOG00000025401.1)". The record is from RNAcentral. Lineage: Eukaryota; Metazoa; Chordata; Actinopteri; Gadiformes; Gadidae.
ACAAUACAAGGUCAUUCUGUGUCUCUUCUACCCUGUUUGGUUCCUUGGCGUGUGUCUGCGUGUCCCAGGCCCUCCGGUGUUUGAGGAGCAGCUGUCAGACGUCACCACCCAGCCGGGGCAGACCAUCCAGCUGGCCUGCAGGGUGACCGGCUCCCCCGCCCCGGUAGUCAGCUGGCUCAAAGACGGGCUCCACCUGGACGUGGACCUGCGCCACAUCCUGACGGCCAGGCGGUCGGGGGCCCACAGCCUGGUGCUGGAUGGCCUGGCCCCGGGGGACGGGGGCCAGUACCUCUGCUACGCCCUCAGCCCGGUGGGCAGCGCCAGCACCCUGGCCCGGGUCACCGUGGAGGGCCCUCCCCGGUUCCUCAGCCGACUGGAGAGCAUGUGUCUGAUGGAGGGGGAGGACCUCCAGUUCAUCUGCUCCACCCUCUCCACCCCCCUGCCCAGAGUCAGGUACAGCCCCCCCCCCCCAACCCUUAUCAAAAGGACAGUUGUUACCGUGGACCCGACUAACCCCUGUGUUAUCCACUGUAUCGCCAGGUGGGGUAAAGAUGGUGUAGAGCUGACCGACCGGAGUAAGUACCGGAUCUCCAACGACGCCCGCAGUGGGAUCCUGACUCUGACCGUCGUCAGCCCCACCGAGGCCGACGUCGGCCUCUACGAGUGCGAGCUCUCGAACCCGAUGGGCUGCGCCAAGUGCAAGGCCGGACUUUGCCCCGCCUACGUGCCGUCGAUUGACAGCGAGAUCGUCGAACCGCAGGACUUGUCCCCCAAAGGUAGGCCGGUCCCAGACGAGCCAGGUAAACACGCAUCACAGGGGUCCAGGGCCCCCAAGAGAGUUUUAUUAGCGUUGUAUCUCAGUUAUAAACACCCUGGUGGUACAAGGAAACACUGGGAAUACUUUUAG